AGCGAACGCUGGCGGCAGGCUUAACACAUGCAAGUCGAACGCCCCGCAAGGGGAGUGGCAGACGGGUGAGUAACACGUGGGAACGUACCCUUUGGUUCGGAAUAACUUGGGGAAACUCAAGCUAAUACCGGAUAAGCCCUUAUGGGGAAAGGUUUACUGCCGAAGGAUUGGCCCGCGUCUGAUUAGCUAGUGGGUGAGGUAAUGGCUCACCAAGGCGACGAUCAGUAGCUGGUCUGAGAGGAUGAUCAGCCACACUGGGACUGAGACACGGCCCAGACUCCUACGGGAGGCAGCAGUGGGGAAUAUUGGACAAUGGGGGCAACCCUGAUCCAGCCAUGCCGCGUGAGUGAUGAAGGCCUUAGGGUUGUAAAGCUCUUUUACCCGGGACGAUAAUGACUGUACCGGGAGAAUAAGCCCCGGCUAACUUCGUGCCAGCAGCCGCAGUAA
This 447-nucleotide ribosomal RNA is filed under the name uncultured bacterium. RNAcentral's name for it is "partial 16S ribosomal RNA". It matches the Rfam family "Bacterial small subunit ribosomal RNA", at positions 29 to 523 of the family's 1533-position model. The record is from RNAcentral.